GAUGAACGCUGGCGGCGUGCCUAAUACAUGCAAGUCGAGCGAACAGACGAGGAGCUUGCUCCUCUGACGUUAGCGGCGGACGGGUGAGUAACACGUGGAUAACCUACCUAUAAGACUGGGAUAACUUCGGGAAACCGGAGCUAAUACCGGAUAAUAUAUUGAACCGCAUGGUUCAAUAGUGAAAGACGGUUUUGCUGUCACUUAUAGAUGGAUCCGCGCCGCCUUAGCUAGUUGGUAAGGUAACGGCUUACCAAGGCGACGAUGCGUAGCCGACCUGAGAGGGUGUUCGGCCAAACUGGAACUGAGACACGGUCCAGACUCCUACGGAAGGCAGCGGUAGGGAAUCUUCCGCAAGGGGCGAAAGCCUGACGGAGCAACGCCGCGUGAGUGAUGAAGGUCUUCGGAUCGUAAAACGCUGUUAUUAGGGAAGAACAAAUGUGUAAGUAACUAUGCACGUCUGGACGGUACCUAAGCAGAAAGCCACGGCUAACUACGU
This 496-nucleotide ribosomal RNA is filed under the name uncultured bacterium. Its description in RNAcentral is "partial 16S ribosomal RNA". It matches the Rfam family "Bacterial small subunit ribosomal RNA", at positions 28 to 506 of the family's 1533-position model. The record is from RNAcentral.